This 274-nucleotide ribosomal RNA is filed under the name uncultured bacterium. RNAcentral describes it as "partial 16S ribosomal RNA". It matches the Rfam family "Bacterial small subunit ribosomal RNA", at positions 523 to 796 of the family's 1533-position model. The record is from RNAcentral.
AUACGGAUGGUGCGAGCGUUGUUCGGAAUUACUGGGCGUAAAGGGCGCGUAGGCGGCCUGCCAAGUCAGAUGUGAAAGCCCACGGCUCAACCGUGGAAGUGCAUCUGAAACUGACAGGCUCGAGUACUGGAGAGGAGUGUGGAAUUCCUGGUGUAGAGGUGAAAUUCGUAGAUAUCAGGAGGAAUACCGGUGGCGAAGGCGACACUCUGGACAGAUACUGACGCUGAGGCGCGAAAGCGUGGGGAGCAAACAGGAUUAGAUACCCCAGUAGUCC